UUAAACCAAAUCAAAUUAUAGUCACAAUAUCUCAAGAAAAAGGUAACAACAUGUACCGCUCUACAAUUAUCAAAAAUAAAUACUAAACAUGAUAACCUAAUUCAAAGAGUACAAAUACGAGCCAAUGCAUCAACUCCAAAAUAAAACUAAUAUAUGAAUUUCACAAGAAACAAUUAUGUGAAAGAAUAACGAAAUUUGAAAUAAGUGACAAAACGAACAAAACGAACAAAUCAAAUUUAACAAGAAUAUCGCUGAAAGAGUACGGAAUCCGUACCUGAUACUUCCAAACCAUUUAUAGCACACUCCACAAAAUCUUACCCUCAAAUGCCAACGAUAUCAAAUACGAAACGUUAUUCACAACCUAAACAUAUUCACCUCAAAUUAAAAAAAAUCCAAACUAAUAAUUCCAAAAUAAUUCAUAAUCUAUUUAAUAUGCCUAUAAUCAUCGC
This 449-nucleotide long non-coding RNA is filed under the name Panax ginseng (ginseng). Its description in RNAcentral is "long non-coding RNA (PGIN_LNC014598)". The record is from RNAcentral. Lineage: Eukaryota; Viridiplantae; Streptophyta; Magnoliopsida; Apiales; Araliaceae.